UCGAUGCCUAUUCCCUCUCCUUUGCCUCUAAAUCUCCCGCGGAAUACAUUGAUUCCCGCAAAGGCAAAAUUUGCCUAGGUCUCAUGCCCUAGCCUGUCCUCCGCCACCGUUCACCGCCAGCUACUCACCACAGCCAUCCGUCUUCUCCAUAAAUCCUUCAAUCCGACAACUUCUCCUAGAACGAUUUUGCCAGACCCGAAAUUAAAAUGUUCAUUCCCCCACUCGAGCCCCCUUAUCAGAUGGUUUAAUCGAACCACCUGAGGUUUAAUGCAGUUCCCGGCCACCUAGUUGCUGAGUCUUGCUUGUGAGGCCGGGGUGGAGGGCACUAAGCAGAACCUCUGAAAUUAUCAUUGAAUGGUAUGGCCAUGUCCGACAGUUCUGGGGCAAAUCCAUGUGAAUGGCACAUCCUGUUAUAAGCAGUAUCCCAAUAGUGAGAUAAAGUUGACAAGUGAUUACCUUUCAACGCAUUUGGGCAGAGACUAAGAGUACCUUUCAUAUUUGUUACCUGACGUGCAACUAUUCCUCAUUCCAGCUACAAUGAGAGGAACAAAGAAUACACGUGGUGGACGUGCUGGCAAUCGCGCAUCAGCACGUGGUAGAGGCCAAGAUGCACAGCCUCAAGCACGCAUUCUAAGGGACGAGUCUGUUUCAUUUUCAGAUGCAUCCACUCAAGGACCAAGUGUCGGACCAGAGGACACAAUUCCUAUCAAUGAGGCUGAAAUAUGUAACGCGAAUUUUCAAGGUACGUUAUAAUUUUUCAUACCAUCAAAAUUAUC
Molecule: long non-coding RNA, 776 nt
Organism: Juglans microcarpa x Juglans regia
Lineage: Eukaryota; Viridiplantae; Streptophyta; Magnoliopsida; Fagales; Juglandaceae
Exons: 3
Source: RefSeq, a predicted model, not a curated record